UUCGCUCCCUUGCCCUUUGCU
Molecule: microRNA, 21 nt
Filed under: Pteropus alecto (black flying fox)
Lineage: Eukaryota; Metazoa; Chordata; Mammalia; Chiroptera; Pteropodidae
Description: pal-miR-9988-3p
Source: miRBase by way of RNAcentral